RNAcentral lists this ribosomal RNA (499 nucleotides) under uncultured Lachnospiraceae bacterium. RNAcentral's name for it is "bacterial SSU rRNA". It matches the Rfam family "Bacterial small subunit ribosomal RNA", at positions 39 to 507 of the family's 1533-position model. The record is from RNAcentral. Lineage: Bacteria; Bacillati; Bacillota; Clostridia; Lachnospirales; Lachnospiraceae.
UCCGUACGGCGUCACGGGAGUGAACGGACUGCGGGCGUAGCUUAACACAUAGCAAGUCGAACGGACGAGGUAAUGAAACCUAGUUAGAGUUUAUCUGUUAGUGGUCGGACGGGUGGAGUAACGGCGUGGGUAACCUGCCGUAUACAGGGGGAGUAACACUUAGAAAUAGGUAGCUAAACCGCAUAAGCGCACAGGAUCGCAUGGUCCGGUGUGAAAAACUCCGGUGGUAUACGAUGGACCCGCGUCUGAUUAGCUUGUUGGCGGGGUAGAGGCCCACCAAGGCGACGAUCAGUAGCCGGCCUCGAGAGGGUGAACGGCCACAUUGGGACUGAGACACGGCCCAAACUCCUACGGGAGGCAGCAGUGGGGAAUAUUGCACAAUGGGGGAAACCCUGAUGCAGCGACGCCGCGUGAGUGAAGAAGUAUUUCGGUAUGUAAAGCUCUAUCAGCAGGAAAGAAAAUGACGGUACCUGACUAAGAAGCCCCGGCUAACUACGUG